UAAGGAAUAUUGGACAAUGGAGGCAACUCUGAUCCAGCCAUGCCGCGUGAAGGAAUAAGGCCCUAUGGGUUGUAAACUUCUUUUAGACGGGACAAAACCCCUUUACGUGUAAAGGGUUGAUGGUACUGUCAGAAUAAGCAUCGGCUAACUUCGUGCCAGCAGCCGCGGUAAUACGAAGGAUGCAAGCGUUAUCCGGAAUUAUUGGGUUUAAAGGGUGCGUAGGCGGACUAAUAAGUCAGUGGUGAAAGCCUGCAGCUUAACUGCAGAAUUGCCAUUGAUACUGUUAGUCUUGAGUACAGUUGAGGUAGGCGGAAUGUGUCAUGUAGCGGUGAAAUGCUUAGAUAUGACAUAGAACACCAAUUGCGAAGGCAGCUUACUACAUAUAAAUUGACGCUGAGGCACGAAAGCGUGGGGAUCAAACA
Molecule: ribosomal RNA, 422 nt
Filed under: uncultured bacterium
Lineage: Bacteria
Description: bacterial SSU rRNA
Rfam family: Bacterial small subunit ribosomal RNA
Source: RNAcentral